AGGAUGAACGCUGGCGGCGUGCUUAACACAUGCAAGUCGAACGAUGAAGCCGGAGCUUGCUCUGGUGGAUUAGUGGCGAACGGGUGAGUAACACGUGAGUAACCUGCCCUUGACUCUGGGAUAAGCACUGGAAACGGUGUCUAAUACCGGAUACGAGCUUUAGCCGCAUGGCUAGGAGCUGGAAAGAAUUUCGGUCAAGGAUGGACUCGCGGCCUAUCAGGUAGUUGGUGAGGUAACGGCCCACCAAGCCUACGACGGGUAGCCGGCCUGAGAGGGUGACCGGCCACACUGGGACUGAGACACGGCCCAGACUCCUACGGAGCAGCAGUGGGAAUAUUGCACAAUGGGCGCAAGCCUGAUGCAGCAACGCCGCGUGA
This 377-nucleotide ribosomal RNA is filed under the name uncultured soil bacterium. RNAcentral's name for it is "bacterial SSU rRNA". It matches the Rfam family "Bacterial small subunit ribosomal RNA", at positions 26 to 404 of the family's 1533-position model. The record is from RNAcentral.